RNAcentral lists this transfer RNA (70 nucleotides) under Dipodomys ordii (Ord's kangaroo rat). It matches the Rfam family "tRNA". Rfam says of the family: Transfer RNA (tRNA) molecules are approximately 80 nucleotides in length. The record is from Rfam by way of RNAcentral. Lineage: Eukaryota; Metazoa; Chordata; Mammalia; Rodentia; Heteromyidae.
AGAAAUGUGGCUCAGUGGCAGAGUGCUUGCCUAGCAUGCAUGAGUCCCUGGGUUCAAUUCCCCAGUGCUA